Suricata suricatta (meerkat) is the source of this 496-nucleotide long non-coding RNA. RefSeq lists it as uncharacterized. NCBI's taxonomy places the organism in Eukaryota, Metazoa, Chordata, Mammalia, Carnivora, Herpestidae. The transcript is spliced from 2 exons. The record is from RefSeq and is a predicted model, not a curated record.
ACUGGCAGUCACUGCUCAAGUCUUGAAACAGAGAAGUCACUACUUGUGAGUGAAGGUGGACUUUUCCAUUAUAGAGUGUCAUGGUUUAAAAAACAAGCAAACAAACAAAUGGAAAAAAGUGAGUUUUUAAAAAUUAAGAUGAAAUUUGCCCUUGACUUCAUUUCCUGGCUGUGGGCCCGCUGGAGCUGUGCAGCGACACCUGCUCCCACAGCAGCGCUGAGUUCCUCUGUCAGGCCACCGGUUUCUCCUCGCAGGGAUCCGAGGGAAAAUACGGACACUGAUCCAGGGAGCCCAUAGCCCACGGGCAAGGCGGAUCCCUGACAGUGGGCAAGUCUACAAGGCAGCCAGAAACAGAUGACAAGGAGGAGACCCAUUUGUGCCCAAUACAGAGGACAGUCACCAGUCACCCUCCUUGUGUUCAGAAUUUGACGGCUCCCUGCUGAGGUCCAAACAGAUAAACCCAUGCGUUGAUUAAAAAAUAAUAAUAAUAAAUAAA